GUCUAUUUGAAGAUAUAAAAAGUCUAGCCUGCCCCCUGAGUGUUUUAAGGGCCGCAGAAUUUUAACUGUGCGAAGGUAGCAUAAUAAUUAGGUUUUUAAUUGAAAUCUUGUAUGAAUGGUUGAACAAAUGAAAGACUGUCUUUAUAUUAUAAUUUGAAUUUAACUUUUAAGUGAAAAGGCUUAAAUAUUCUAAAAAGACGAUAAGACCCUAUAAAACUUUACAUUAAGAUUAAAUAAAAUUGAAGUUUAAGAUAAAAAUUAAUUUAAUUAUUUGUUAUGUUGGGGAGAUAAAGGUAAAAUGUGUGUAACUGCUUGAAAUUAAAACAAAUAUUUAUGAGAAUAAAAGAUCCUUAAUUAAAGAUUAAAAGAUUAAGUUACUUUAGGGAUAACAGCGUUAUUUUUUUUGAGAGUUCUUAUCGAAAAAAAAGUUUACGACCUCGAUGUUGAAUUAAAAUUUCUAUAUAAUGCAGGUGUUAUAUAAGAAGGUCUGUUCGACCUUUAAAAUUUUACAUGAUUUGAGUUCAAACCGGUGUGAG
RNAcentral lists this ribosomal RNA (536 nucleotides) under Isolapotamon sp. ILp1. RNAcentral's name for it is "partial 16S rRNA". It matches the Rfam family "Bacterial large subunit ribosomal RNA", at positions 1831 to 2625 of the family's 2925-position model. The record is from RNAcentral. Lineage: Eukaryota; Metazoa; Arthropoda; Malacostraca; Decapoda; Potamidae.